GAUGAACGCUAGCGGCAGGCUUAAUACAUGCAAGUCGAGGGGGCAGCAAUGUCACCGGCGAACGGGUGCGUAACGCGUAUGCAACCUACCUACAUCAGGGGGAUAGCCCUAGGAAACUGGGAUUAACACCGCAUAACAUAUGACAAGGCAUCUUGUUAUAUUGAAAUAUUUAUAGGAUGUAGAUGGGCAUGCGUAGGAUUAGCUAGUUGGUAAGGUAACGGCUUACCAAGGCUACGAUCCUUAGGGGCUCUGAGAGGAGUAUCCCCCACACUGGCAGUGAGAUACGGGCCAGACUCCUACGGGGGGCAGCAGUAGGGAAUAUUGGGCAAUGGAGGCAACUCUGACCCAGCCAUGCCGCGUGCAGGAAGACGGUCCUCUGGAUUGUAAACUGCUUUUGAAUGGGAAGAAUGUGUGGCUUGCGAGCUAUAAUGACGGUACCAUUAGAAUAAGCCACGGCUAACUACGUGCCAGCCGCCGCGGUAA
This 483-nucleotide ribosomal RNA is filed under the name uncultured bacterium. Its description in RNAcentral is "partial 16S ribosomal RNA". It matches the Rfam family "Bacterial small subunit ribosomal RNA", at positions 28 to 523 of the family's 1533-position model. The record is from RNAcentral.